RNAcentral lists this transfer RNA (68 nucleotides) under Sternaspis buzhinskajae. RNAcentral's name for it is "tRNA-Gln". Lineage: Eukaryota; Metazoa; Annelida; Polychaeta; Terebellida; Sternaspidae. The record is from RNAcentral.
UAUAAGAUAGUGUUUACUGCACAUAGACCUUUGAAUUCUAAAGCGGAAGCUAACCCUCCCUCCUAUAU